Molecule: non-coding RNA, 479 nt
Organism: Neofelis nebulosa (Clouded leopard)
Lineage: Eukaryota; Metazoa; Chordata; Mammalia; Carnivora; Felidae
Source: the annotation of a RefSeq genome assembly
AUGGCCUGGACCCCUCUCCUGCUCCCUGUUCUCAAACUCUGCACAGGCUCUGUGGCAUCCAGUGAGCUACUCAGCCACCCUCAGUGUCAGCAGCCCUGGGACAGGCAGCUACAAUCACCUGCUCUGGAGAUGUACUGUCAGAGAAAUAUUCAUCUUGGUACCAGCAGAAGCCAAGCCAAGCACCCGUGCUGGUCAUUUAUAAGGACAGUGAGCGGCCCUCAGGGAUCCCUGACCGAUUCUCUGCCUCCAGUUCAGGGAAAACAGUCACGCUGACCAUCAGCGGGGCCCAGGCUGAGGAUGAGGCUGACUACUACUGUAGGUCAUCAGACAGUGCUAAUAAGGUUCACAGUGGCACAGGUAGAUGGGGAAGUGAGACACAAACUCCUUCCCAGUCUGUGUUCUCUCCUCCAGCCGCAGGGGGCUGGUAGACAAAGCAGUGAAUAGAUCUGGCUCAGGUUCCCACAUCUGAUGUCCCCAGG